ACCAGCUGAGUCACCUAGGCGCCCUGUGUACUGACUGAAUCCUUUUAUGUUCAGGCAAGAAAAUGCACAGCCAUCAGUCCCAUAUUCUGUUCUGCAGGUGCCCCUUUCUCUGCCUUCCUGGAUCUUGGAUAAAAGAAAGACUUGAUUAAUGGAAGAGACAGAUUUUGGAAGAGCCCCUCCUGCCAGGACUAUAGCAGGACAUUGAAACUGACCAGCCACAGUGACCUCGGGACAUGAUUAAGUACUUUAUGAUUAAAAUAUGCAUAUUUUGCAACCAA
Suricata suricatta (meerkat) is the source of this 278-nucleotide long non-coding RNA. RefSeq lists it as uncharacterized. NCBI's taxonomy places the organism in Eukaryota, Metazoa, Chordata, Mammalia, Carnivora, Herpestidae. The record is from RefSeq and is a predicted model, not a curated record. The transcript has 2 exons.